UGAGUAACCUGCCCUUAACUCUGGGAUAAGCCUGGGAAACUGGGUCUAAUACCGGAUAUGACUCCUCAUCGCAUGGUGGGGGGUGGAAAGCUUUUUGUGGUUUUGGAUGAACUCGCGGCCUAUCAGCUUGUUGGUGAGGUAAUGGCUCACCAAGGCGACGACGGGUAGCCGGCCUGAGAGGGUGACCGGCCACACUGGGACUGAGACACGGCCCAGACUCCUACGGGAGGCAG
RNAcentral lists this ribosomal RNA (233 nucleotides) under uncultured bacterium. RNAcentral describes it as "partial 16S ribosomal RNA". It matches the Rfam family "Bacterial small subunit ribosomal RNA", at positions 118 to 351 of the family's 1533-position model. The record is from RNAcentral.